ACAGGCCGCAGCAUAAAAACAAGAACAAAGAAAAAUCAAAACAAACAGAAAGAAUUCCUUAAAUAGACAGGACAAGAGAACUUAUUGCCACAACAAACUCCGUCCAACCAAGAAAAAGAAAGCCCCAAUCAAUACUAUCUGCGCCCUCCUUGUAGAUAUAUUAGCACUAAAUUCUUCACACCUUUUCCAGAAUUACAAGAAUUGAAACUGAGCAUCAAAAAGACACAAUCAACAAUAUGGUACAAUAGUAACACAUUCAAAAAUAUAAUAAAUGGCAAAGCUGAUCAAAGCACCAAUCUACAUAAGAAAUCGCAACUAAAUGAUUGAACUGAAAAUUUUAAGCUUUGAUAACCAGAAAAAACAUGCUGAGAACAGCUGAUAUUCAUAACAAAUUGCACAAUCACAACCUGAAAUAAACACAAUCCAAGCACCACGUGUCAAAUACCAAGCAAUUGAAAUUUCUAAACUCAUGAUAACCACGCCACCUAACCAAAAAGAUUGCAACAUUUAUGCUGGUUUAAAAGAGAAGCAAACCGAUGAUGACAAGCCAACUUUGCAAGAACCCAAAGUUGUAUCAGCAGAAUCUAUAAAAUAAAUCAAAACAAGGAAUAAGGACAUGUCUGAGAGAACAGCAUAUAGCAGAGUUCUAAGCAACUUGUGAAAAGAAAGAUAGGGAAAAAAAAGAAUUUCACUCAUUUCCACGUAACGACCAACUUCAAAAAUUGUUGCUCAAACACGAGAAAGCCCAAAUCACAACCUCCAUCUACGAAAUUUUCAAACACCUUGAGCUUGAGUUAUCCCAAAAAAUUUCAUGAAAUAGGAUGCUACACUUCACAAAACCAGGAGACAAGGAUCAGCGCCAGAAGCAUAUGUUCUUCAGUGCUCAAAUAUCCGCCCAGCAGUGGAAACACUAGAGAAUGCAAACCUGGUUCACAUAACCACCGACUUACUUUGUGUAUUGUAAUGAGCUAUUAACCUAAGAUUACCAAUUAGCGACACCUAACCAAAAAGAUUGCAAACCUGGUUGACAUAACCACCGACUUACUUUGUGUAAUGUAAUGAGCUAUUAACCUGAGAUUUACCAAUUAGCGACACCUAACCAAAAAGAUGCAACAUUUAUGCUGGUUUAAGAGAAACAAACCGAUGUCGACAAGCCAACUUUGCAAGAACCCAAAGUUGUGGCAGCAGAAUCUAUAAAAUAAAUCGAAACAAGGAAUGAGGACAUGUGUGAGAGAACAGCAUAUACAGGCUUCUAAAUAAAUCGAAAUAAUGCGAGAGAAAAAAAAGCAUUUCACUUAUUUCCGCAGAACGACCAACUUCAAAAACUCUUGCUCAAACACGAGAAACCCCAAAUCACAACCUCCAUCUGUCAACAGAUCAACUAGAAAUUUUCAAACAGCUUGCUCUUGAGUUAUCCCAAAAUACCGCAAAGAAGUGGAAAACUUGAGAUUGCAAACCUGGUUGACAUAACCACCGACUUACUUUGUGUAAUGUAAUGAGCUAUUAACAUGAGAUUACCAAUUCGUGACACCUAACCAAAAAGAUGCAACAUUUAUGCUGGUUUAAAAGACAAACAAACCUAUGUCGACAAGCCAACUUUGCAAGAACCCAAAGUUGUAGCAGCAAAAUCUAUAAAAUAAAUCAAAAUCAAAACAAGGGAUAAGGACAUGUCUUGGAGAACAGCAUAUAGCAGCCUUCUAAACAACACGUGAAAUAAAGAGGGGGAAUAAAAAGCAUUUCACUUAUUUCCGCAUAACGAAGAACUUCAAAAACUCUUGCUCAAACACAAAAAGGCACAAAUUACAACCUCCACCUGUGAGCAGAUCAACUACAUAUUUUCACACAUCUUGCUCUUGAGUUAUCCCAAAAAAACUUCAUGAAAGAGGAAACUACACUUCACAAAACCAUGAAACAAGCAUCACCGGCAGAAGCAUAUGUUACUCAGUGCUCAAAUAUCCGCCCAGAAGUGGAAAAACUUGAGAUUGCAAACCUGGUUGACAUAUCCACCGACUUACUUUGUGUAAUGUAAUGAGCUAUUAACCUGAGAUUUCCAAUUAGUGACACAAGCCCAGCAAUGUAACUUAAAUCAUUCCAAAUCUCAAAACGCCAAAUGUUGAUCACAAGAGGGCAUAGCAAAAACCUGUCUUUUAACAGUCCAAAGAUGACUUUGGGCGGAAAUAGAAGUCCAAAGGCCACAUACCGGUUAUUCCGCAUCCAGGAGUCAACUAACAUACCAAUAUAAACACCACAACUGGACGAAGGGACAGCCUAACUUCAAUCUAGAAUUCAGGAUCUCCUUGGAACGUAAUGCCAGCGAUGCAUCAAGAUUCAAAACCUAACACAAAGAUCUUCCCCAAGAGCGAUCAUCAAACUUACUGAGAGAAACUUCUAAAUUGUGACGAAGAAAACCUUCCCAUGAUAGAAAUAAUUCAAUAUUGAAAGAACCCUAAUCCGUGAUGAGGAAAAUAUUCCCUGCAACCUAUCAACAAAGUUUGUCGGGAAGAAAACCAAAAUUGUAAAGAUUAUAGAUCAAGUAGCAAUGCAUCAAAACCUAACACGAAGAAGAACUUCCCUGAAAGCGAUCACCAAGGUCUUGAAAGAAAACCCUAAGAAGCAACCCUCCCCUGAUGAAAGCAUUCACUAAUCUGUGAUGAAGAAAUCAUUAACCCUAAUCUGUGACGAAGAAAAUCUACGCUGCAAGCGAUCAACAAAAUUUUUUUUUUGGAAGAAAACCCAAAGAUGUAGGAUGUAAGUAGCUAUGCAUCACCUAAAGAAGAUCCUCUCGGAACCGAUCACUUUCGUCUUCAAAACCUAAGUUGAGUAGAAAACAACCUUACCUGAAGCAUUCACCAACGUGGAAAAAUAAACCCUAUGUGUAACUAGAAAUCUUUCCUGCAACCUUCAACGAAGUAUAUUAGAAGAAACUACAAAUUUGUAAUAAAGAUUAUAGAAAUCUUCCACUGGCAACGCAUCGAAACCCAGCGAAAAGAAGAUCCUCCCUGAAAGCGUCGCCAACGUCUUGAAAGAAACCCUAAUUUGUUAUGACAACCUUCCCUGAAGCACUCACCAACGUAUUAGAAAGAACCCCUAAUUUGUAACGAAGAAAAUCUUUCCUGCAAGCGAUCAACAACGUAUUGGAAGAAAAACCAAUUCUGUGACAAAGACGAUAGGAAGAAAUCUUCUAUUGGCUAUUGACAAUUCUGUCACAAAAGAUGCAUCAAAACCAAAAACACAAACAAAACGUUCCUGAAAGCCAUCACCAAGGUAGAGGUAUUGCAAGAAAACCCUCCCUGAAAGGCCUAUACCGGCGCAAUGAGAAGCCCUAAUUUGUAACCAAGAAAGUCUUCCUGUAAGCGAUCAACAACAUAUUUGGAGAAAAACCAAAUCUGUAAACAAAGAUGACAGAAAUCUUCAACUGGCUAUGCAUCAAAACCAAACACAAAGCAAACCUUCCCUGAAAUCGAUCACCAACGUAUGGAAAGAAAACCUAACACAAGGAAGAGGCGAGAGUUUGAAACGAUGAAAUAUUAGGGUGGGGAUGGGCUAUUUAUAGUCAGUCGAGGCGGUGAAAAGGUCUAGUCCUAUCCAAAGUCUGUUGGCCUUAACGCGGAUUCUGACUGGCGUAAGACCAAAGCAAAUGGCCAUUAUUGUGACACCUGUUUUCUUUCUCUGACGUAAAGUCCACGAACGCCAACGGAGACUCGGUUGGCGAGUGCCUACUUGGUGAACAAGCAUCAACGAAAAACGCUUAAAAUAACUUGCAAAAAACAAAAAAACGCUUAAAAUAAACGUAGAAAAUAAAUAGUCGGUGUCUCGGUGAGUCGGUGACCAUUCACUUUUUGGCUGGUGAGGUAGAC
RNAcentral lists this long non-coding RNA (3857 nucleotides) under Betula platyphylla (Asian white birch). The record is from RNAcentral. Lineage: Eukaryota; Viridiplantae; Streptophyta; Magnoliopsida; Fagales; Betulaceae.